This is a long non-coding RNA of Macadamia integrifolia, 1007 nucleotides long. RefSeq lists it as uncharacterized. The transcript is spliced from 2 exons. The record is from RefSeq and is a predicted model, not a curated record. NCBI's taxonomy places the organism in Eukaryota, Viridiplantae, Streptophyta, Magnoliopsida, Proteales, Proteaceae.
GCACUUUGGUCAAUAUCAUCUUCCUCCCUCUUCUUCUGCUUUGAAAAACAUUAACAACUAACAAAAACUUCCAUGGCGAAAGCGUUUCACUACUUCAGCUACUUCAGUUAUUCUCAUCACUCUCUAGACUCUUUCAUUUCUCAUGAAAUCCGUCUUCUUCCAUCCUGAUAACUCCAUAUCUGUGAUCACAAAAGCUUCCAAAUCGGAAGAACUUUGGGUCGUAUCAACCAGAACGAACGUGCUUUCGAGUUGGAGCAGCAUUGGCUUCGAAUCACUUCACUCGGCGCAUUUCGAAGAGACAGAGUUUCAGUAUAAGCGAUUUUCUUGCUUGUAAACGGAAAGAAGGAGAGACGACGCCCGAGAGUGGGGACUAUGUUGGAGGCUGUAGCUGCUGCUGGUAUUUCUUCUUCAUGGCAUGUAUGGUUUGAUCUGACAGUGUUUCUGAACAUUGUGAAGCAAAUGCUUAUCUUUAGCUUGUCUAAGAGGUGGGUUGGUGGUGGUAGAAUGCGCAUUCAUCCGGUUCAAGCCAUUCAACUUCUCUACUUGUUCUUAUGUUCCUCCUCUUGUUUCUCUGGUCUUUAAUGGUGGUGGUGGUGGUGGUGGUGGUGGUAGUGGUAAAGCAAAUGAAUCUGGUGUGAUAUUGGCGGGGACGGCUCAAUCUCUAUUUUAUUUUGUUUUUUCUGUUAGCUAAUGUGUACAUGUGAGUGUGUGUAGGAUACAAAACACAUUCUUCUCCAACCAGUGUGCUGGUUCUUAUAGUUAAUGACUUUUGGUUUUUUGUUUUUAUAACCCUGUUCAUGGGGAAAAGAGAGAUGGGUAACAGAGAGAUCCAUAUUGGGAAUUCUCCCUCGUCUUGUGCUGGUUAUUGGGAACUCUCCAUAUCCAACAUCCCCUUCACAAGAAUGAAAGGGCUACACAAUAUGCAUUUGGUUAAAAUUAUGGUAUCCCAUUGUUGAUACAGAGAUACAAUGUUGGAAGAAUGAUAUGAUAAUAAGGUAUUUAUUCUA